GUACAUUAGUGCUUGCGCACGACAGUAGUUUUCAUUACAUUCGAGUUGGGGUGUAAAAUCCUCUGUCAGCCGAAGCCAGCAAGAGGCCAAAGGUUCACAAGGGUAUUUGGAUGAAAGUCACCAACGUGCACUUGCUGGGAGCCAGCCAGCACUGAAGGCAACAAUUCACAAUCACUAAUGAUCCUUCCGCAGGUUCACCUACGGAAA
Molecule: unclassified non-coding RNA, 207 nt
Filed under: uncultured fungus
Lineage: Eukaryota; Fungi
Description: sequence contains ITS1
Source: RNAcentral